GAUGAACGCUAGCUACAGGCUAAACACAUGCAAGUCGAGGGGUAACGAGAGGAAAGCUUGCUUUCCUUGUCGACGACCGGCGCACGGGUGAGUAACGCGUAUCCAACCUGCCCCCAACUAGGGAAUAACCUUGCGAAAGUAAGACUAAUACCCUAUAAUUUCCUCAGAUGACAUCUGACGAGGAAUAAAGAUUUAUCGGUUGUGGAUGGGGAUGCGUCUGAUUAGCUUGUUGGCGGGGUAACGGCCCACCAAGGCAACGAUCAGUAGGGGUUCUGAGAGGAAGGUCCCCCACAUUGGAACUGAGACACGGUCCAAACUCCUACGGGAGGCAGCAGUGAGGAAUAUUGGUCAAUGGGCGAAAGCCUGAACCAGCCAAGUAGCGUGCAGGAUGACGGCCCUAUGGGUUGUAAACUGCUUUUAUACAGGAAUAAAGUUAGCCACGUGUGGUUAUUUGUAGGUACUGUAUGAAUAAGGACCGGCUAAUUCCGUGCCAGCAGCCGCCGUAA
This 506-nucleotide ribosomal RNA is filed under the name uncultured bacterium. RNAcentral describes it as "partial 16S ribosomal RNA". It matches the Rfam family "Bacterial small subunit ribosomal RNA", at positions 28 to 523 of the family's 1533-position model. The record is from RNAcentral.